UGUUGAACCAUCCCUGCAUCCCUGGGAUGAAUCCCACUUUGUCAGGGUGUAUGAUCUUCUGAUGAUCUUCUACAUUCUGUUUGCCAGUAUCUUAUUGAGGAAGUUUGCAUCUAUAUUCGUUAGGGAAAUUGGCCUAUAGUUCUCUUUCUCGGUUGGGUCUUUCUCUGCUUUGGGGAUCAAGGUGAUGCUUGCUUCCAGGAAUAAAUUUGAGAGUAUUGCUUCCCUUUCAAUUUCACUGAAGAGUUAAAACAGUCGUGGCAAUAGUUCUUCUCUAAAUGACUUAUAGAAUUCAUCAGUGAAGCCAUCAGGACCUGAGUUUUUCUUUGUUGCACCUGAGACUGCCUAAGGACUUCAUCCGGCUGCAGGAGCGUCCAGGAGUUGCUGGUCCUGGGAGCUGCCUUUGGCCACUGAAGAAUAAGAGUUGGUGGACAGACACUGCCUGGCAGGUGGAACUAUCCCUUGUAACAGUGCUCUCCAGGAAACAGUCAGUACAGAAGAAGAUUUAUUAGGAGGCUUUGGAUCAUAUGAUUGUGGAGGAUGAGAAGUCCUACACACUGUAACCUGCAAGCUGGAAGCCCAGGAAAGCUGGUGGUGAUGUUGCAAUCUGCUGUGGUUUGGAUGUGGUUGGUCUCAAAAGUUUAGGUAAUGGAGGCUUGGUCUUCAUUGUGGAGUGUGUGACCUUUAAGAGGUGGGGCUUAUUGGGAGGUUGUUAGAUCAUUGAAGCGGGUUGUUAGAGAAGCUUGGGUCUCACCUCUGAAUUGCUCUUUGUCCCCACUCAUACUCCUGCCAUGAUGCUGUCUACCAUUAGGCCCUCAGCAGAGGCCAAAUUGAUGGAGCCACCCUUUCUUGGACUUUCAACUUCCAAAACUGUGAGCUAAAUAUACCUCUUUCCUUUAUAAGUUAGGCUGCCUGAGGCAUUUUGUUAAAAUAACAGAAAAUGGACUAAUACACAAUCCAGGUCCAAAGGCCUGAGAACCAAUAUUGUGGGUGUCCAAGGGCAGGAUAAGACAGACAUCCCAGCUCAAGCAGAGAGAGUGUCUUUUUGUUCUGUUUAUGACCUCAAAGGAUUGAAAGAUGCCCACUCACAUUGGUGAGGGGAUCAUUUUACUCAGUCUACAAAUUCAAAUGCUAAUCUCUUCUAGAAGCACACUCACAGGCACACCCAGAAAUCAUGUUUGCCACCUAUCUGGCAGUCAUCCCUUAGGCCAGUCAAAUUGACACAUAAAAUUAAUCAUCACAAUCUCUCACUAUUGCCCCUGGAGUUGAGUCCCAGGUGUAACAGUGAUAACCUGCCCGGUUUGAGUCCUUGUGUGGCUUCUUGCCCUUCUUGAUCUCAGUCCCCCACUCCCCUAUCAGCCUUUCCUGUUCCUCCCAAACAGGCUACCUGCACUCACAGCCUAGCCUCAGGGUCUGCUUCUGUCAGGACUCAACUUCAGAUGUUUGCUGUGUGUCUCCCUUACUAGAAUGUAAACUCCACAAGAUUCAUGGAUGUAUUCCAAGCACCUAGAAUCCUGCCUGACAUAUCAGAGCCUCUGGAAGAAUAUUUGUUGAACACAUUGUUUAUGCAUUGAAUGACAGUUCAAUAAAUAUUUACAGAAUGCCUAAUCUGCCAAGCUCUAUGCCAGGUAUCCAGGAUGCCCCUGGAAUAAGACAGACCUGAGUCCUGUUCCCUCGUGCCCAUAGUCUAGGAGGAGAAGAAAAGCAGACCAUACACUUCAGGUGAUCAGAGUUGAUGUAGGGACACACAGGCCACAUGUGGGGCACAGAGGAGACCUUGGGUACAGACACCAGGCUGACUCCUGGAGCAGGGUUGGCUUCAGGAGUAUGCAACCUGUGCCCCUUGUAAGGGCCCUAAACCUGGUUUAAUGCUUUGCUGUUGUUGUCUUGUGAUCCUUACUCAACUUUGAAUGAACUCUCUACACUUUGAUAUCACACAAGGCCUACAUCUGGCCCUUCCUGGAAUGAAAUCUACACUGAGACCAGGGAGGCUGCAUGGUUGGAGGGAGGGUGCAAAAUGUUGGGUUCCAGGCAGGGAACACAGCAUGCGCAAAGGUUCAGAGGUGUGAGAGAGACCAGAAUGUUCCAGAAUACAACACUUUGGUCCAGCUGGAAUGUAGAGGGCACAUGGAUGCCAGAGGUGGCAAGAGCCAGUCUGUGAAUGGCCUUGUGCAUUUCCCAUGCUCAAGAAUUUAGACUUUAUCCAAAGGCCAUUGCAGGUGUUAAUGGUGGGACAGGAGGCCAUGGGGGCAAGGCUGGACACAGACACUAUUUGUUCCAAGAAUCAAGGGCAAAGAGACAGGGAGAACCUGGCAGAUUUUAAUGACUCUGAGGAGGUAGAAGUCGACAUUCAAUGACUGAUUGAAUAGAAAGAGAGAUAUUGUGCCAAUGUCUGUUUCUAUGUUUACCCGGCACCUUCAUAUUCAGAACUCCUGGAGAGUGGCUCCGAGGCCUGGGCAUAGUUCCCCUCUGGUGCUGGCUGGGGUGGCAUCCUGGCUCCAGCAAGAGAGAUGAACCACUGAGGUAUGAGACUUGGCUGUGGCGUCCCUUCUCUCAGCACAAACACAGGCUCCAAAUGAGUUUUCUGCCUGGAACUUUAAUAUGUUAAAAAUGACGGUGGAGCCAGACUCUGCCCCCAGCACCCAAUUCUUCAGGAGCUGAAGCUUCCAAAAAUUGUGGGAAAGGCAGGAGAGGAGUGAUGAAGGGGACCUAACUCAACACUGACAGUAUCACCAAGGUCAGACUGUUCUGUUCCAGAGAGCCCUGGGAUACACAGUGCAGAACCAGAAGGACAGUUAGCUGUGGUCUCAUCCAACAUCCUUUCCAUGACUGAUGGAGAAACGCACCCUACAGGAAAGAAUCAAACUGCUCAAGGUCACAAAGAGGGAUAGAUGGAGGCUCCUAGAUUCUUUUUUUUUUUUUUUUUUUUGGUACCCAGGAUAGAACUCAGGAUCUUUGUGCUUGUGAGGCAGGUGGCAGUACCACUGAGCUAAACACCUGGUCUGCUCCUAGGUUCUUGAAAGACAUCUCAGCCUGGUCUGAUGCUAUGACCUAUGACCCCUGGCCUCCCAUUACCCAGAGAAUGUUUUUGUUUGAGACAGGGUCUCUCUGUGUAGUCCAAGCUGUCCUUGAACUUGCUAUAUAGCCCAAGUUGGCCUCAAACUUGAGAUUCUCCUGCCACAGCCUUUUGGGUACUGGGACUACAGGCAUGCACCACCAUGCUCGGCUAACAAGUAGAUUUGAGAAGCAUACAACACAAGGUCACAGGAUACCUCAGGAUGCUUUUAGCUUUAAGGAACAAGGAUCUAUCCCCUAGAGGGUUAGGUUAGAAAAGAGUCAUCUGGAAUGUGCGUGUUCACUCAACUGCCCUUGGCUGCAUGCCUUUCUGCAGGGAGGCUGGCUACCUUCUGGGAAAGGAGUGUAUAGAGAUAACUAUUGCUACACGAAGGACUCAUCACUCCUAGACCCUAGCCAAGCCUGGGAAUGGUCCCUUCCAGCCUUUCAGGCCUGUUGGCACCAAGUCACUACUGUCUGAACACAGUACUUAAGGGACUGAGAAACUGCAUGUGGUGAGGCAUUAUUCCCCUUAUCUGCCACAGGCUCCAUCUCAUGCAAGAUCCUUCACCAGAGAAUCCUCUUUAUCUUUAGUGCUGUCCCUUGCCUUGCUGUGCAGUAAUGUAUUAUUUGACUAUGCUCAUAUCUGCUGUACCUUUAUAAUAAACUUACUUUCAUCUUUUAAAAUCAUUGUUAGCUCUUCUCUGUUCAUGUGGUCUGAACUGCAAAUUUCUGCGGCCACAUGUAUGUGACUUCUUGCUGUCAUAGCACCCUAAGUAAAAAUGCUUUAGAUCCAGGAGUUCUCAAAGUGUAGUCCCUGGACUAGCCAGCAUCAGCAUC
This 3891-nucleotide long non-coding RNA is filed under the name Heterocephalus glaber (naked mole-rat). RNAcentral describes it as "lncRNA (ENSHGLG00100045178.1)". Lineage: Eukaryota; Metazoa; Chordata; Mammalia; Rodentia; Bathyergidae. The record is from RNAcentral.